AUCUUGGAUCCACGUGUCGCCGCGAUGACGUCAGCGGAAGUGGCGCUCCCCUGGUUACAGGCUUCGGCUUCGCGAGGCGGCUGUCUCGCUUUCCUCGCGCGUGUCGUCGUGCUUGUGGAGAGGCAACAGAGACUUGACUUCUGCUCGACACCCUGAUCUCGGCACCGCGGUCUCAGACUCCUGUCCUUCCAUGUUGCUGAUCAUGCAGAGGAAAGCCAGGCAUCCUGUCCAUUCAUUGCUUUCACUGCUGAGGAUAGAACCCAGGGUCUUGCAUUUGAUAGGUCAGCUGAGGUUCAGCUACUCCAGGCUGCUCUGCACUGGGUUCAGUGGCAACCUGCAGCUUGGUCCAGCGCUGCUAUUCCCUAUGUUACUCAUCUUCCUUUGGUCAUGCCCUAGUCAGGCUGAAGGGCGAGCCAAGUUCCUGCACAGCAUUUCAAUCGUCUACUUGCUUCCCACUUACCAAUAUCCCAUUGGCCAAAGCAAGUCUCAUGACCAAGCUCAACAUCAAGUGAAGCAAUGGACCCUUCCCAUGGAUUACUGACAUGAAUAACAGUGUGCCCCAAAUCAGGAGGGCAUAUUUCCAUUGCAAGACUCUGGGCUUUGUUUUCAGAUACCCAUGUAUGUAUCCUCAACCAAAAAAAAAAAAAAAAAAA
Long non-coding RNA from Jaculus jaculus (lesser Egyptian jerboa), 653 nucleotides. RefSeq lists it as uncharacterized. The transcript has 3 exons. NCBI's taxonomy places the organism in Eukaryota, Metazoa, Chordata, Mammalia, Rodentia, Dipodidae. The record is from RefSeq and is a predicted model, not a curated record.